RNAcentral lists this ribosomal RNA (401 nucleotides) under uncultured bacterium. Its description in RNAcentral is "bacterial SSU rRNA". It matches the Rfam family "Bacterial small subunit ribosomal RNA", at positions 355 to 774 of the family's 1533-position model. The record is from RNAcentral.
UGGGGAAUAUUGGACAAUGGGGGCAACCCUGAUCCAGCCAUGCCGCGUGAGUGAUGAAGGCCUUAGGGUUGUAAAGCUCUUUCGCACGCGACGAUGAUGACGGUAGCGGGAGAAGAAGCCCCGGCUAACUUCGUGCCAGCAGCCGCGGUAAUACGUAGGUGGCAAGCGUUGUCCGGAAUUACUGGGUGUAAAGGGAGCGUAGGCGGGUAGACAAGUCGAAUGUGAAAUCUAUGGGCUCAACCCAUAGCUGCGUUCGAAACUGUAUAUCUUGAGUGAAGUAGAGGCAGGCGGAAUUCCUAGUGUAGCGGUGAAAUGCGUAAAUAUUCGGAAGAACACCGGUGGCGAAGGCGGCUACCUGGCCAUGUAUUGACGCUCAGGUGCGAAAGCGUGGGGAGCAAACA